Molecule: long non-coding RNA, 736 nt
Organism: Dreissena polymorpha
Lineage: Eukaryota; Metazoa; Mollusca; Bivalvia; Myida; Dreissenidae
Exons: 3
Source: RefSeq, a predicted model, not a curated record
AUCUAACUGUUGAAUAUAUACAGUAAAAAUACUAAAAUGAAAGUUUUGACACACCAUGCGAAUGUCCUAUCAAGUAAAGGUGACGAUUAACCAAAAUGAAGUGUAAUAUAACCUAAUUUCAAUGGGUUUUAUGCGGUUCGAGUGUUCACAAAACACCGGUUGACCUUGAAAAUGACAUGGGACGAUGAUGGGUAAAAAACAAUCUCGUCGAAUAACAUUUCUCAAUUAUCAACGAGUUUAAGCCGUUGACACUGCAUUGCAUGGGAAGAAAAGGUGAUAUUAGAACAGUGUUCAGAUGGAUCUAUUCAGUGUCAUAACUGUAAAAUAAUGGUCGCAUCGUCAGUGCUAUGACAUGUCGGACACAGACCUAAAAUCAUGGUCUCCAUCGUACCUUAAGUUUGUGUGUCAAAAGUGUGGAUUUCGUAAUGGAAAGUACGACGUCGAAGCUGCACUCAAGAGCAGUCAUGUGCAAUAGGUGCGUAUCUAAAAUUCUUGUCAAGAGAGUCUACAGACAGUUGGUGCCCUGGAGAUUGGAGACUCCCAUCAUAUGCUGUCACUAAAUGGAGCGCAGUAAAUUUUGCGACCUACACAUUUUCCAACGUACUUAAAAUGGUUUUUUUUUCAUAAAAAAGUGAUAUUUAUAAUUAUAUGAAUAUCAUAAGCAGUUAGUAGGUAGUUCUUUGAGGAGAGUGAUGUUGACCAACAUUGACGUUACGUUUUAUUUAUUUGUAACAAU